AUGGGCGCUCUUCACCGCCUGCGGCACCCUCGCCUCCUUCGCCUUUGGCCACGCGGUCGCCUACGCACUCGGCCAGCAUGUUGGUCUGGGCGCAGUCCUCCUUCUUCCUGCGGUGCGCCCAGUGGACGGACGCGGAGGCCGACGAGGAGAGCGCGCUCUGGUUCGGGAUGCUCUGCUGCGCCCUACUCCAGGCUCCCGUGCCGCCGCCGCUGGGUCCGCCGCGCCCUCGCCUACCUCGCGCUCGUGGUCACCAUCGUUGGCCACUGCAUGUACGUCGUCCACGUCCGCCUCAUCCUGGCCGCCGACACAGGAUACGUCUCCGCCAGGAUCUUGGGCACGGCGGACAUGGUCAUCUUCGCGGGGGGCGACCUCCUCUGCUUCCUGGGCCUCCUCCUCGGAGGUGACAAGUGA
Molecule: ribosomal RNA, 411 nt
Filed under: Triticum aestivum (bread wheat)
Lineage: Eukaryota; Viridiplantae; Streptophyta; Magnoliopsida; Poales; Poaceae
Description: partial small subunit ribosomal RNA
Source: RNAcentral